Molecule: ribosomal RNA, 1557 nt
Filed under: Staphylococcus aureus
Lineage: Bacteria; Bacillati; Bacillota; Bacilli; Caryophanales; Staphylococcaceae
Description: 16S ribosomal RNA
Rfam family: Bacterial small subunit ribosomal RNA
Source: RNAcentral
UUUUAUGGAGAGUUUGAUCCUGGCUCAGGAUGAACGCUGGCGGCGUGCCUAAUACAUGCAAGUCGAGCGAACGGACGAGAAGCUUGCUUCUCUGAUGUUAGCGGCGGACGGGUGAGUAACACGUGGAUAACCUACCUAUAAGACUGGGAUAACUUCGGGAAACCGGAGCUAAUACCGGAUAAUAUUUUGAACCGCAUGGUUCAAAAGUGAAAGACGGUCUCGCUGUCACUUAUAGAUGGAUCCGCGCUGCAUUAGCUAGUUGGUAAGGUAACGGCUUACCAAGGCAACGAUGCAUAGCCGACCUGAGAGGGUGAUCGGCCACACUGGAACUGAGACACGGUCCAGACUCCUACGGGAGGCAGCAGUAGGGAAUCUUCCGCAAUGGGCGAAAGCCUGACGGAGCAACGCCGCGUGAGUGAUGAAGGUCUUCGGAUCGUAAAACUCUGUUAUUAGGGAAGAACAUAUGUGUAAGUAACUGUGCACAUCUUGACGGUACCUAAUCAGAAAGCCACGGCUAACUACGUGCCAGCAGCCGCGGUAAUACGUAGGUGGCAAGCGUUAUCCGGAAUUAUUGGGCGUAAAGCGCGCGUAGGCGGUUUUUUAAGUCUGAUGUGAAAGCCCACGGCUCAACCGUGGAGGGUCAUUGGAAACUGGAAAACUUGAGUGCAGAAGAGGAAAGUGGAAUUCCAUGUGUAGCGGUGAAAUGCGCAGAGAUAUGGAGGAACACCAGUGGCGAAGGCGACUUUCUGGUCUGUAACUGACGCUGAUGUGCGAAAGCGUGGGGAUCAAACAGGAUUAGAUACCCUGGUAGUCCACGCCGUAAACGAUGAGUGCUAAGUGUUAGGGGGUUUCCGCCCCUUAGUGCUGCAGCUAACGCAUUAAGCACUCCGCCUGGGGAGUACGACCGCAAGGUUGAAACUCAAAGGAAUUGACGGGGACCCGCACAAGCGGUGGAGCAUGUGGUUUAAUUCGAAGCAACGCGAAGAACCUUACCAAAUCUUGACAUCCUUUGACAACUCUAGAGAUAGAGCCUUCCUCUUCGGGGGACAAAGUGACAGGUGGUGCAUGGUUGUCGUCAGCUCGUGUCGUGAGAUGUUGGGUUAAGUCCCGCAACGAGCGCAACCCUUAAGCUUAGUUGCCAUCAUUAAGUUGGGCACUCUAAGUUGACUGCCGGUGACAAACCGGAGGAAGGUGGGGAUGACGUCAAAUCAUCAUGCCCCUUAUGAUUUGGGCUACACACGUGCUACAAUGGACAAUACAAAGGGCAGCGAAACCGCGAGGUCAAGCAAAUCCCAUAAAGUUGUUCUCAGUUCGGAUUGUAGUCUGCAACUCGACUACAUGAAGCUGGAAUCGCUAGUAAUCGUAGAUCAGCAUGCUACGGUGAAUACGUUCCCGGGUCUUGUACACACCGCCCGUCACACCACGAGAGUUUGUAACACCCGAAGCCGGUGGAGUAACCUUUUAGGAGCUAGCCGUCGAAGGUGGGACAAAUGAUUGGGGUGAAGUCGUAACAAGGUAGCCGUAUCGGAAGGUGCGGCUGGAUCACCUCCUUUCUAA